Molecule: ribosomal RNA, 538 nt
Filed under: Burkholderia cepacia
Lineage: Bacteria; Pseudomonadati; Pseudomonadota; Betaproteobacteria; Burkholderiales; Burkholderiaceae
Description: bacterial SSU rRNA
Rfam family: Bacterial small subunit ribosomal RNA
Source: RNAcentral
GUAAUACAUCGGAACAUGUCCUGUAGUGGGGGAUAGCCCGGCGAAAGCCGGAUUAAUACCGCAUACGAUCUACGGAUGAAAGCGGGGGACCUUCGGGCCUCGCGCUAUAGGGUUGGCCGAUGGCUGAUUAGCUAGUUGGUGGGGUAAAGGCCUACCAAGGCGACGAUCAGUAGCUGGUCUGAGAGGACGACCAGCCACACUGGGACUGAGACACGGCCCAGACUCCUACGGGAGGCAGCAGUGGGGAAUUUUGGACAAUGGGCGAAAGCCUGAUCCAGCAAUGCCGCGUGUGUGAAGAAGGCCUUCGGGUUGUAAAGCACUUUUGUCCGGAAAGAAAUCCUUGGCUCUAAUACAGUCGGGGGAUGACGGUACCGGAAGAAUAAGCACCGGCUAACUACGUGCCAGCAGCCGCGGUAAUACGUAGGGUGCAAGCGUUAAUCGGAAUUACUGGGCGUAAAGCGUGCGCAGGCGGUUUGCUAAGACCGAUGUGAAAUCCCCGGGCUCAACCUGGGAACUGCAUUGGUGACUGGCAGGCUAG